UACGGAGGGUGCUAGCGUUGUUCGGAAUUACUGGGCGUAAAGCGCGUGUAGGCGGCCAUUUAAGUCUGAUGUGAAAGCCCGGGGCUCACCCCCGGAAGUGCAUUGGAAACUGGGUGGCUAGAGUACCGGAGAGGAGGGUGGAAUUCCUGGUGUAGCGGUGAAAUGCGUAGAUAUCAGGAAGAACACCGGUGGCGAAGGCGGCCCUCUGGACGGAUACUGACGCUCAGACGCGAAAGCGUGGGGAGCAAACACG
RNAcentral lists this ribosomal RNA (253 nucleotides) under uncultured bacterium. RNAcentral describes it as "partial 16S ribosomal RNA". It matches the Rfam family "Bacterial small subunit ribosomal RNA", at positions 524 to 776 of the family's 1533-position model. The record is from RNAcentral.